RNAcentral lists this ribosomal RNA (253 nucleotides) under uncultured bacterium. Its description in RNAcentral is "partial 16S ribosomal RNA". It matches the Rfam family "Bacterial small subunit ribosomal RNA", at positions 524 to 776 of the family's 1533-position model. The record is from RNAcentral.
UACGGGGGGGGCAAGCGUUGUUCGGAAUUACUGGGCGUAAAGGGCGUGUAGGCGGCCAACUAAGUCCGACGUGAAAUCCCCAGGCUUAACCUGGGAACUGCGUCGGAUACUGGAUGGCUUGAAUCCGGGAGAGGGAUGCGGAAUUCCAGGUGUAGCGGUGAAAUGCGUAGAUAUCUGGAGGAACACCGGUGGCGAAGGCGGCAUCCUGGACCGGCAUUGACGCUAAAGCGCGAAAGCCAGGGGAGCAAACAGG